GCUAUUUAGGUGACACUAUAGAAUACUCAAGCUAUGCAUCCAACGCGUUGGGAGCUCUCCCAUAUGGUCGACCUGCAGGCGGCCGCGAAUUCACUAGUGAUUAGAGUUUGAUCAUGGCUCAGAUUGAACGCUGGCGGCAGGCCUAACACAUGCAAGUCGAGCGCGAAAACACUUCGGUGUGAGUAAAGCGGCGGACGGGUGAGUAACGCGUAGGAAUCUACCUAGUAGUGGGGGACAACUCGGGGAAACUCGAGCUAAUACCGCAUACGCCCUACGGGGGAAAGCGGGGGACCUUCGGGCCUCGUGCUAUUAGAUGAGCCUGCGUUGGAUUAGCUAGUUGGUGGGGUAAAGGCCUACCAAGGCGACGAUCCAUAGCUGGUCUGAGAGGAUGAUCAGCCACACCGGGACUGAGACACGGCCCGGACUCCUACGGGAGGCAGCAGUGGGGAAUAUUGCGCAAUGGGCGAAAGCCUGACGCAGCCAUGCCGCGUGUGUGAAGAAGGCCUUCGGGUUGUAAAGCACUUUCAAUUGGGAGGAAAGGUUCACGGUUAAUAACCGUGAGCUGUGACGUUACCUUUAGAAGAAGCACCGGCUAACUCCGUGCCAGCAGCCGCGGUAAUACGGAGGGUGCGAGCGUUAAUCGGAAUUACUGGGCGUAAAGCGCGCGUAGGUGGUCUGUUAAGUCGGAUGUGAAAGCCCCGGGCUCAACCUGGGAACUGCAUCCGAUACUGGCAAACUAGAGUGCGGGAGAGGGAGGUAGAAUUCCAUGUGUAGCGGUGAAAUGCGUAGAUAUGUGGAGGAAUACCAGUGGCGAAGGCGGCCUCCUGGCUCGACACUGACACUGAGGCGCGAAAGCGUGGGGAGCAAACAGGAUUAGAUACCCUGGUAGUCCACGCCGUAAACGAUGUCUACUAGCUGUAGGGGUACUUGAGACCUUUGUAGCGCAGCUAACGCAAUAAGUAGAC
This 965-nucleotide ribosomal RNA is filed under the name uncultured Gammaproteobacteria bacterium. Its description in RNAcentral is "bacterial SSU rRNA". It matches the Rfam family "Bacterial small subunit ribosomal RNA", at positions 1 to 869 of the family's 1533-position model. Lineage: Bacteria; Pseudomonadati; Pseudomonadota; Gammaproteobacteria. The record is from RNAcentral.